UUCAGUCCCAUCCGCUGCACAAACCAUCGCCAGCAUCAUCCUACCUUCAGUCAUGGUGCACAAGCAAAGAAACUUGCUUGAGACAAAUGUUCCAACAUGAUCAUGACUCAUGAGUUAAUAACAUGAGUGUGGAUUAGGUUCUCGUAUCAGAAUCAUUCUUGUACGAGCUGACCUGUACAUAUGGAAUCCAUCACAGAGUUGGUUGUUGAGUAGAUUCCAUCUGUGCGGAUGAGUCCCCUACAAGAAUGGUUCUCGUGUGAGGAUUUGAUCUACUCUUGACAUCAUUUUUUUUGCUAAGAAUAUAAAGGGAAGAGAACAACAAUUGCCCAAUGCAGUUGGUGAACUGUGAUGUGUAAAAAUCCUAUGCUCAGUUACCUACUUCCCUCCCUCCCUUAAAAAAAAAAAAAAAAUAAAUAAAUAAAUAAAAAUUCCAUUAUUAAAUACUGUUUAUUUUCGACCUGUAAAGUCUUUAAAUUGAGGGGAGGAAUUAUAUCAGUGCCAUCAACCGUAUCUUUGGGACCUGAGGAAUCAGACGAUGGGCUGCAAGGGAUCGAGUGAAAAAGCCCCUCUUCAACUUUCUGAGCCAGAUCCUCCUCCUGCACCCUCUUCGGCGAUUGCGUUUCAGACAGCUGAUAGAAGCAAACAAACCAACACGAUAUGGGAAAAUUCGAAAGUCACAAUAGAAAGCCGCGGCAGUAUUGAGUUUCAGAAGGCCACUAAUCAAAGUGAGCAGAUAAACAGCUUUUCUGGAUCUGCAGAGGUUCGAAUUAAGGGGCAAUAACCCAGUGGUGAUAUGUUGCAGAGAAUCUCCUUCUCUGUCGUGUGGAAGAAAGAAGUUUGGCGCUAAGAAUCUCUCUCUCUCACUCUCUAUCUCUAGAUCGGUUUAUCAGCAUUUCGCAUGGAAGCGAAUGGAUAUUCCACCGAGGAAAAAGAGAAACUUCCCUUCACCGUGUGUUUCUAAAUAUAGAGAGCUUCUGGUUUUAGGGUUUUGAUUCUUAAUGUACGAUUAAUCGGUGCUGGACACAUUAAGUUCACAUCCUCUGCAGCAAGCAAUGAGGUGUUCACCGAACAUUAAUACGCGCCAGUGAUUCCUGCACCAGCAUGGCCAGUAAGAUACAUAGGCAGUCUUUCCACCGGCCUCUAUUUAUGGUAGUAACCCUUUAACUGCCGGACGGUUCUUUUUCCCAAUAAAAACUGUUUUACUUUCUCCUGAAGGUGUCAAGGUACUAGAAGAUGGGCGGCAAGGGAUCGCAUGAAAAAGCUCCUUCUCAAGGUUCUGAACAAGAUGAUCCUCCUGCAUCUGCUCAGCCUGUCCCCCUCCUGGCUACUCCCUCUGUUCCCUCAAUUUCGUUUCAGAUGGCUGAUGGCAGCAAACAAACCAACACGAUGUCGGAAAAGUCCAAAAUCGUAAUAGUAAGUAGCGGCAAUAAAAAGUUUCAGGAAGCUACCAAUGGAAGUGAGCAGACGAACAGCAUGUCUGGAUCUUCAAUGGUUCAGAUUACAGAGCCACCACUAGCAGUUCUGCUGCCAGUGAAGAAAACUGAUUACAACAAAUGAACCUCCUUUUGCAGAAGACAAGCGUUGUGCUAGAUCGUUCUCUCCACCACCGCUGCAACCUAUCCCAUCACCCGUUUUCAAGCCCACUCCUCUGCAAACCCACGCCACCUCCUCUGUUUUCCUGCAACUCCCAUAUGGAUAAAUGAAUAGAAUUCUCAGAAUCAAUCGCCUUUUCCUAUUUUGGGCUUUCCCUUUAACUAAUGUAAAUCUCUGUUUGUUUGAAUCUGAUUUUCAAUAGCUUAAUCUCUGAUAGUAGGAUUCAUAGUGCAGAAAUAUAUGGGUUUUGGUCGUUUUUGGGAUUA
Long non-coding RNA from Macadamia integrifolia, 1859 nucleotides. RefSeq lists it as uncharacterized. The transcript has 2 exons. The record is from RefSeq and is a predicted model, not a curated record. NCBI's taxonomy places the organism in Eukaryota, Viridiplantae, Streptophyta, Magnoliopsida, Proteales, Proteaceae.